RNAcentral lists this long non-coding RNA (516 nucleotides) under Bos taurus (domestic cattle). RNAcentral's name for it is "long non-coding RNA NONBTAT005561". The record is from RNAcentral. Lineage: Eukaryota; Metazoa; Chordata; Mammalia; Artiodactyla; Bovidae.
CAAAUACAUUCAGAGCACAGAAUUUAUUGAACAUAACACGGAGACGGCUAGUACGGAAAGUUCACGCCUCGGCAGGGCAGGUUUCAUCAGGCUGACAUGGAACAUGUGAGAACAUGCUAUGAAUGGCUCCUUUGAUCUGGACACUAAGGAAACCCACCCCCUUCCCUUUGGGAGGUGGAAAAUCAGCCACGAAACCAUGCAUUUAUUACAUAUCAGAUAACCAACACAUACCAUGGUAAAGAGUCCUCUCCUACACCAACUUUUUAAAUGCAUUCCACGUCAAAACGGGUCAUACAACUUAAAAUACAUAAGAACGAUGAAAAUGAAAGCAUUCUAAGACAUGUCUAGAAUACUCAAUCCCCAAAAUGUUAACAUAUAUCGAAGUCAGGAUAAAAACCCUCAUCACAAACUGCAGAGAUCUUUUUUUUCAAGACAGGGAGAUGUAAGCUAUGGAAAGAACAGCAUGUGUUACUGAAACUACUUAUUUUCACAAAGAGAGAGGAGGUGAAGAGAACA